UACGUAGGGUGCGAGCGUUAAUCGGAAUUACUGGGCGUAAAGCGUGCGCAGGCGGUUCGUUAAGUCAGCUGUGAAAGCCCCGGGCUCAACCUGGGAACUGCGGUUGAAACUGGCGAACUAGAAUCUGGCAGAGGGGGGUGGAAUUCCACGUGUAGCAGUGAAAUGCGUAGAGAUGUGGAGGGACACCGAUGGCGAAGGCAGCCCCCUGGGCUAAGAUUGACGCUCAGGCACGAAAGCGUGGGGAGCAAACAGG
RNAcentral lists this ribosomal RNA (253 nucleotides) under uncultured bacterium. RNAcentral's name for it is "partial 16S ribosomal RNA". It matches the Rfam family "Bacterial small subunit ribosomal RNA", at positions 524 to 776 of the family's 1533-position model. The record is from RNAcentral.